ACUAGUGUUACAGCUAGAAUAAAUCUAAGGUUGGAUCUCUGGGAGAGCAAAUCCUGUCCUCAUUUUUGUUAAGAAAUAAAUAAAAGGCAUGAGUUAAAAAUUAUCCAAAAGGAGGAGGAGGGCAUGUAGGCUGGGCAGAGGGAAGACAACAAGGUUUGAAAAAAGAAGAGAGGAUAUAGAUGGAAGAAAACCAGUCAGAAGAAUAUCUUGAAGAAUGAGUGGUUUUUUUGGUUUGGUUUUGGUUGUUUUGGUACCAGGGACUGAACUCAGGACCUUGCACUUGCGAGGCACGCAGCAUAACCACUGAGCUAAAUCCCUGGCCCAACUUUCUGCAUCUCUCUCUUGUUGGAGCAGGCUAAUGAUUGACUGCUGUCUUAGCCUUUUGUUGCUGGCAAGGUCCUGGAAGAAACUGAAAGUCUUUGAGCAACAAUGGAUUAAACUGCUUUAGGAAAUUCUGAGCUGAUGAACAUCAAAUUGGCAGGUUGAGUUUGAUGGAUCCUCUGCUGUUGAGAGAGUUGUUGGAGGCUGUAGAACAAUGAAGGAAUGAGCAAAGUGUAUGCUGCACUGGCUGUGAAAUAUCUCUGGUUUGCAGUGAUGCACAUAAAUUGAACUCAUCCCCAGUGACCAGAGCAUGUCACAUUACCAAGCCCACCUUCAGGAGCUUUUAGCCUUUGGAGGAAACACUACAUUCAGAGGAACUAAAUGGACAUUUUCUAGACAGAUACUAAUGUGUGACAAUAAAUGCAUAGAAUAAAGAACGAUGUUUGAAUACAGUGAAGAAAAGCUGUUUCUUUAGUGAGAAACAAAGAUUCAAGAUUGAGCUGAUCCUAGUUUUGAAUUUAUAUGUGAAAAUCAUGGAACCCUGAUUUUUAUACUACCAAAGGCAAGGCACAAAAUGAUUAUUCACGAUUGCAUCAGGAAUAUGUAUUACAGGAUUAUUCCUAAUUUAGAGAGUCACUAAGCCUUUUCCUAUGAGAUAAUGGAUAGUCUCCUGGUAAGAACAACAUAUAUAU
Molecule: long non-coding RNA, 1013 nt
Filed under: Heterocephalus glaber (naked mole-rat)
Lineage: Eukaryota; Metazoa; Chordata; Mammalia; Rodentia; Bathyergidae
Description: lncRNA (ENSHGLG00000042674.1)
Source: RNAcentral